GAAGCAUCAGACACUGGGGGGCGCUUCUUGAACAGGCACUGGGCUAGACAGCCCAGACCUCGCGGAAACAAAGCGGGAAGGGGCCGCUCCUGGGGAGUUUUUCCCAGCUUCCCUGGGCCGGUGAGGGGUCCUGGCGUCCUGAACUGGAGAUGCUCCUUAGAGGGCACUGCUUCAGCCACCCCUGCCUUAGCAUACAUACGGGUCCCACAGGGGUCCUUCGACACCAGCUCAUCGUCUGGGUUCCACCAUCCACCCACGCACUCAUUUGGCAGCUAUCAACGGAGUAUUCACAGUACGCUGCUCACAGUUCUAACCGCGGAGGAUAGAGUUGAGGCCCACACGACAGCCCCUGCUCUCACAGAACUGAUGUCUCUAGAAGAGUCUUCCCUCAGUGAGAACGUUCUGAUUUCUAGAACAUUCUUUCUUCUGAUGAGUGAACAGCCUCACCGGAACUUCCCCAUCCUCCUGGCUUGGUUCCUGAAGUGGCCCAAGGCUGCCUUCUCCCUCCCGUGGGUGAACAGGGUCACUGCUUCCUCUCUUGUCCAGGCCCCCUGGCCUGACCCUGAGUCCCGGGCGUAACGGCGUUGUUGAACCACCACAACCCCAGGCGGCGCCUUCCUCUUGGCCCAGGGGCUCUCUUGGGGACAGUGUGCAGUACUCCCCAAGGGGGCUUUGCUGUGCAAAAGCAGCCCCUGCCGAUGCUGCGGCUCCCGUGGAUGGAGCACUGCCGUGGGAACAGAGUUGGAACUCAUCCAAAAGAAUAAAAGACAACUGUGUUGGAAGAUUGCCAAGGUUUGUAGCUGUGCCACCGCAGACUUCAGAGAUGAACACUGCCUUGGAGACGAGGAGGAUUCAAGUUGCAGAAGCAUUUAGAAACCUCAAACUUGAGACACGGUGGGAAAUCAGGAAGACAUGAGGCUUUGCUCAACACUGGAGAACACCAGUUCUUUUCAGUUUGUAUGCAUCUUUAUCAGGUCAGUGAGUGGAGGGAAUUUUUGUCCAACGUGCACCUUGACAGAGCUUCACUGACCACGGGCGGUGUCUCCCUGCUGCCACGCAGCACACCUCUGACCACAGACCUCUCUCCAGAGCCACGUGUUUGCUUCUCACCUGACAGGCUCUGUGAGAGCCCAUCUGUGCUUCCCUGGGAUGUCUGACCGCACGCAUCCCCCACUGUGCAUGGGAGCCCUGCUGGGCCCGUAGGUGGAAUUAUUUCUCAGUUUUAAUCUGAGUACAUAAUUGAGGCUUGUGCCAGCAAGGACUCCCAUCGCUUUCUUUCCUCACACUCCACACGUAGUGCUGCUCAGUGAUUUUACUGUUCCUCUAGGAAUGGCUCCCACCUGCUUAGAGUAUAAGAUUUAUCUCCUUAGCACACCAUGGGAAGUCUCCUAAAAUCCAUCCACUGCUUAUCUCUUUGGCCUCAGCUCUUGGCCCCCUGUGAUGAAACCCUGAUCUCUAGUCAUGCAGAGGUGCUUGCAACUUUCUGAAAGCUCCUUUCAAAGGUGCCUUUGCCUUCUGUUCCCUAUCCCUUCAGGGUCCUUCCCGGCUAGCCACUGCUCCUGGCUAAGUUCUGAGAGGUUGCAUCCACCUCGCGGGAGUGUUGGCCAUUUUCUCCCUUCGAGGUCCUUAUUGUUGGCCUUUCUCUCUUUCCCUACUAGACUCUAAGCUCCCUUAGAGUGGGGCCUCUGUCUCACCCAUCUCUCUGUGGCCCCCAUCUAGUGUGCGGUCAAGGCUUGCUGAGAGCUGCCUUUUCAUGUGUAUUAUGACAAUUCAGCCCAAUGACAAGUGGCUCACUCCAUCUCCAACACGCUCCUGUCAACCUUCCUUUUCCCUGGGUCUCUUCAGUUUAACCUUUUGUGGGCAUACCAUCAUGCAUUAGUUGGAAUCAGAUUGAUACUGGAGGUGUUUUUGUUUUCCAGAAAUGUCUGGGGAAAGUGUGCCUGUGUACUUUUCAUGUAUGUCCGUCGGAGGAAAAGUUUUCAUCAUUCAUUUAUUCUUGUAUCGAUUGCACAAAAUUGCUUAAGAUUCUCCUCUGUGUGUGGUUCCAUGGGAGCUUGGACCACUUUACAUGAUGAAUAGGACAGAGUAGAGUCCCUUUUGGGAAACAGGCAUCUGUAAAAUGCUAUGGGUACAUAAAGAGCCACCUAAUGGAAAUGGGUCACAGCUGGCACUCCAAAGGAGGCAAUGUCUGAGCUGAAUUGGAAGGAAAAGCAGGCAUUUGCCAAUGAGAACUUGGAGGGUUCUCCAGGAGCAGGGCGUGCAGAGAGCCCAUUGAGUGGAGGCGUGUAGGGAGCCAUGGGGACUUUGGUUUAUCUUAAGAACAAUAUGUGUUUGUGUGUACAAGGGAGGGGGCAGAAUAAGGAAUGGCAGAUAAAGCUGAAGAAGUGAGUAGAGGCCAGAUCACAGGGUCCUGACUGUGUCCUGGAUAAACACGGGGAUGCUGGAGGUUUAAUCAGGGUCAU
Molecule: long non-coding RNA, 2462 nt
Filed under: Homo sapiens (human)
Lineage: Eukaryota; Metazoa; Chordata; Mammalia; Primates; Hominidae
Description: HSALNT0039064
Source: RNAcentral